This 253-nucleotide ribosomal RNA is filed under the name uncultured bacterium. RNAcentral describes it as "partial 16S ribosomal RNA". It matches the Rfam family "Bacterial small subunit ribosomal RNA", at positions 524 to 776 of the family's 1533-position model. The record is from RNAcentral.
UACGUAGGGCGCAAGCGUUAUCCGGAAUUAUUGGGCGUAAAGAGCUCGUAGGCGGUUUGUCGCGUCUGCCGUGAAAGUCCGGGGCUCAACUCCGGAUCUGCGGUGGGUACGGGCAGACUAGAGUGAUGUAGGGGAGACUGGAAUUCCUGGUGUAGCGGUGAAAUGCGCAGAUAUCAGGAGGGACACCAAUGGCGAAGGCAGGUCUCUGGGCAUUAACUGACGCUGAGGAGCGAAAGCAUGGGGAGCGAACAGG